This 464-nucleotide ribosomal RNA is filed under the name uncultured bacterium. Its description in RNAcentral is "partial 16S ribosomal RNA". It matches the Rfam family "Bacterial small subunit ribosomal RNA", at positions 29 to 507 of the family's 1533-position model. The record is from RNAcentral.
ACGCACGCUGGCGGCGUGCUUCACACAUGCAAGUCGAACGGAAAGGCCCCUUUGGGGGUACUCGAGUGGCGAACGGGUGAGUAACACGUGAGUAACCUGCCCUUGACUUCGGGAUAACUUCAGGAAACUGGGGCUAAUACCGGAUAGGAAUCCUUGCUGCAUGGUGGGGGUUGGAAAGCUUCGGCGGUUUUGGAUGGACUCGCGGCUUAUCAGCUUGUUGGUGGGGUAGUGGCUUACCAAGGCUUUGACGGGUAGCCGGCCUGAGAGGGCGACCGGCCACAUUGGGACUGAGAUACGGCCCAGACUCCUACGGGAGGCAGCAGUGGGGAAUAUUGCACAAUGGGCGGAAGCCUGAUGCAGCAACGCCGCGUGCGGGAUGACGGCCUUCGGGUUGUAAACCGCUUUCAGCAGGGGCGAAGCUUGUGGUGACGGUACCUGCAGAAGAAGCACCGGCUAACUACGUG